Molecule: ribosomal RNA, 528 nt
Filed under: uncultured bacterium
Lineage: Bacteria
Description: partial 16S ribosomal RNA
Rfam family: Bacterial small subunit ribosomal RNA
Source: RNAcentral
UGGGGAAUAUUGCACAAUGGGCGAAAGCCUGAUGCAGCAACGCCGCGUGAGUGAUGAAGGCCUUCGGGUUGUAAAGCUCUGUCUUUUGGGACGAUAAUGACGGUACCAAAGGAGGAAGCCACGGCUAACUACGUGCCAGCAGCCGCGGUAAUACGUAGGUGGCAAGCGUUGUCCGGAUUUACUGGGCGUAAAGGAUGCGUAGGCGGAUUUUUAAGUGAGAUGUGAAAACCCUAAGCUUAACUUGGGGACUGCAUUUCAUACUGGAAAUCUAGAGUGCGGGAGAGGAGAAUGGAAUUCCUAGUGUAGCGGUGAAAUGCGUAGAGAUUAGGAAGAACACCAGUGGCGAAGGCGAUUCUCUGGACCGUAACUGACGCUGAGGCAUGAAAGCGUGGGUAGCAAACAGGAUUAGAUACCCUGGUAGUCCACGCCGUAAACGAUGAGUACUAGGUGUAGGAGGUAUCGACCCCUUCUGUGCCGCAGUUAACACAAUAAGUACUCCGCCUGGGAAGUACGAUCGCAAGAUUAAAA